AAGUCGUAACAAGGUUUCCGUAGGUGAACCUGCGGAAGGAUCAUUAUCAAAACAGCGGACUUCGGUCCUUGCUGCACCCUUGUCUUUUGCGUACCGUAUGUUUCCUCGGCGGGCUUGCCUGCCGGUUGGACAUUAUCAAACCUUUUUGUAGUUGCAAUCAGCGUCAGAAAAUAAACAAUAAUUACAACUUUCAACAACGGAUCUCUUGGUUCUGGCAUCGAUGAAGAACGCAGCGAAAUGCGAAAAGUAGUGUGAAUUGCAGAAUUCAGUGAAUCAUCGAAUCUUUGAACGCACAUUGCGCCCCUUGGUAUUCCAUGGGGCAUGCCUGUUCGAGCGUCAUUUUGUACCCUCAAGCACUGCUUGGUGUUGGGCGUUUGUCCUGCAAAGGACUCGCCUGAAAGCGAUUGGCGGCCAACGUACUGGUGGUAGAGCGCAGCACAAUUUGCGUCUCUCCCUUCUACGUUAUCGUCCAUGAAGCCUUUUUCAAACGUUUGACCUCGGAUCAGGUAGGGAUACCCGCUGAACUUAA
Molecule: ribosomal RNA, 529 nt
Filed under: uncultured fungus
Lineage: Eukaryota; Fungi
Description: eukaryotic LSU rRNA
Rfam family: 5.8S ribosomal RNA (bases 186-339)
Source: RNAcentral